AACGAACGCUGGCGGCGUGCUUAACACAUGCAAGUCGAACGCGAAAGUUUUCUUCGGAAAACGAGUAGAGUGGCGCACGGGUGAGUAACGCGUAAGUUAUCUACCCUCCCAUCUGGAAUAACUCACCGAAAGGUGUGCUAAUACCGGAUACGUUGGAAACAAGAAAGGUGGCCUCUAUUUAUAAGCUACCGUGGGGGGAUGAGCUUGCGUACCAUUAGCUAGUUGGUAGGGUAAUGGCCUACCAAGGCAACGAUGGUUAGCGGGUCUGAGAGGAUGAUCCGCCACACUGGAACUGGAACACGGACCAGACUCCUACGGGAGGCAGCAGUGAGGAAUAUUGCGCAAUGGGGGAAACCCUGACGCAGCGACGCCGCGUGGAUGAUGAAGGCCCUUGGGUCGUAAAAUCCUGUCAGUUGGGAAGAAAUGCAUAUUGGCCAAUACCCAUUAUGUUUGACGGUACCAGCAAAGGAAGCACCGGCUAACUCCGUGCCAGCAGCCGCGGUAAUGUCAGU
RNAcentral lists this ribosomal RNA (512 nucleotides) under uncultured bacterium. RNAcentral describes it as "bacterial SSU rRNA". It matches the Rfam family "Bacterial small subunit ribosomal RNA", at positions 29 to 529 of the family's 1533-position model. The record is from RNAcentral.